ACAGAAUGGAAAAAUUACAUGGCAGUAUAUAUUCAAGAUAUUACUACUAUAUAGAAGAGCUAAGCAAGGGAUGAUCAAGCGUAAAAAUGUAAUUUUACUCAAAUAAAAAUCUAUCUUCCACAUAUUCGCUCAAUGCUCGCUUCUUUAACUUUUCAGAAUUCCAGAACAAUCAGUUCCUUCCAAUAUAGAGUGACUCUCAAGUUUUUCUUAAUGCAACAACAAUCAGUUCUUUGCUAAUUGGUACAUGAGAUGUUCUACCAUGCAUUUAAUGGAUACAUGGACCACGCCUUUCCACGUGAUGAGUUAAGGCCUUAAUUUUGUGGAGGAGAAGACACACUUGGUGGCUAUGCCUUAACAUUGAUUGACUCAUUGGACACAUUGGUGAUGCCUGGUGACAGAGAGCACUUUACUUCUUCAGUUGAAUGGAUUGGUAAAAAACUUCGAUUUGAUAUGUUCAGAGACACGAGCUCCAGAGCAACAGUAGAUUCCAGAUAUCUGCAGACAGAUUUAGAAGCUUGUAUUUGGGGGUACCUCUGGAUGAACGAUAAUAGCACUAAGGAAUUCAUUGGGAAGAUAUUUAUAGCAGUUGUGUCAUUUAAAGCUGCAUUAGGCUUUUUGCUGUAUGGAGAAAGGUUAUUUUCAAAUUUAAAGGGAGAAGAAAGAAGCUUCAUGAGCUCCCAUAAAAGAUGCAAAUGCAAUGAUCAGGGGAGGAGAUAUAAAUUCUGAUGAUAACUGGGUUCAUGGUCGUACAAUUGGUCAAACUUCUGAUGAAAAAAAUCCUGGUCCUCCAACUAAACAUGCCAUUGACUUGAUCCGAGCGUUUGAUAACUACCUCAAAUGUAAUUUCAAAAGUUCGGGUUCCGACAAGCUCAUGCACAAAGCCAGAGUUGGAGAAUGAAGAAGAUAAUGCAGAAGACUUACCGGAAUCUACUCAACCAAAUAGGAAUGCGUCUCUUUCAAAUGCUGCAGAGUUGGAGAAGGAUUUACUUUACGAAGCAAGUAAUAGAUUGAGAAUGUCCGAGAAUGGGUAGAGCUCCCAUAAAACAUACAAAUGCAAUGGUCAGGUUAGAAGACAUAAUUUCUGAUGAUAACUGGGGUCAUGGUCGUAUAAUUGGUCAAACUUCUGAUGAAAAUCCUGGUCUUCCAACUAAACAUGCCAUUGACUUGAUCGGAGCAUUUGAUAACUACCUCAAAUGUAAUUUCAAACGUUCGGGUUCCGAUAACCAUUGUUCACUUAAUUACUGGUUGACUUUACAUUAUUAGAGAAGAGAUGGCUAAGAUCUAUCAAAUUGCAAGUGUAUUAUAUGAUGUGCUGAGGAUAGUGGUACCCUCUUCAAAAGUAGAUGAUUAAUGAUAUGAAGACGAGGACAGCAGUAAUGCAACAUAGCUUCAGAGAACAAAACUGGGUGGUAGAUACACUAGCAAAGAAUGGAGCAACCCUAGAAAUUUUUGACUAAGUGUAGAUUUUUAUAGUUCCACAUAUGUGCGUCUCUUAGGCUAUUUGGGUAGACAUUGCGGAAACUAGUUAUAAUAGGAUGAUUUCUUGUAAUCAAAAUAAUAUUAGGCAAAAUUCCUCUAUUUUUUAAUUGAGCCAGACUAAGGCUCAAGACUCAUUUGAUGUACAAAUAUUAUUUAUUUUAAUUUAAGUAGUCUAUUUAAUUAAAAAAGCACAUAUAUUGCAACCAA
This is an RNA transcript of Capsicum annuum, 1686 nucleotides long. RefSeq lists it as uncharacterized. The record is from RefSeq and is a predicted model, not a curated record. Lineage: Eukaryota; Viridiplantae; Streptophyta; Magnoliopsida; Solanales; Solanaceae. The transcript is spliced from 12 exons.